UACGUAGGUGACAAGCGUUGUCCGGAUUUACUGGGCGUAAAGCGUGCGCAGGCGGUUUUGUAAGCCAGAUGUGAAAUCCCCGGGCUUAACCUGGGAAUGGCAUUUGGGACUGCAAGGCUGGAGUGUGGCAGAGGAGACUGGAAUUCCUGGUGUAGCAGUGAAAUGCGUAGAUAUCAGGAGGAAUACCGAUGGCGAAGGCAGGUCUCUGGGCUAACACUGACGCUCAUGCACGAAAGCGUGGGGAGCAAACAGG
RNAcentral lists this ribosomal RNA (253 nucleotides) under uncultured bacterium. RNAcentral describes it as "partial 16S ribosomal RNA". It matches the Rfam family "Bacterial small subunit ribosomal RNA", at positions 524 to 776 of the family's 1533-position model. The record is from RNAcentral.